CAUAGCAACACAACAACAAAUACCUCACACAACAACUAACUCCUAAUAAAACAUUGAGCUAAACUAUAAUUAUAGUUAAACUUCUGCUAAAACUAGUAACAAGAAACCCUCUCUCUGCACCCCUGUAACCCAGAAAUAGAAAAACUACUGGAUUUUAACAGACCAAAAUAGGCACAACACAACUCAUUGUACUAACCACUGUUAAACCAACACCGGAGUGCCAUCAAGACAGAUUUAAAGUUGUAUAAGGAACUCGGCAAAAUUUAUCCCAACUGUUUACCAAAAACAUAGCCUUUAGCAAUAUAAGUAUUAAAGGUCCCGCCUGCCCAGUGAAAACAUCUUCAACGGCCGCGGUAUUCUAACCGUGCAAAGGUAGCGUAAUCACU
This 386-nucleotide ribosomal RNA is filed under the name Trachylepis striata (African striped mabuya). RNAcentral describes it as "partial 16S rRNA". The stretch from base 270 to 386 matches the Rfam family "Bacterial large subunit ribosomal RNA", at positions 1797 to 1969 of the family's 2925-position model. Lineage: Eukaryota; Metazoa; Chordata; Lepidosauria; Squamata; Scincidae. The record is from RNAcentral.